GGGACACGUGGUAUCCUGUCUGAAUAUGGGGGGACCAUCCUCCAAGGCUAAAUACUCCUGACUGACCGAUAGUGAACCAGUACCGUGAGGGAAAGGCGAAAAGAACCCCGGCGAGGGGAGUGAAAAAGAACCUGAAACCGUGUACGUACAAGCAGUGGGAGCCUCUUAAUGGGGUGACUGCGUACCUUUUGUAUAAUGGGUCAGCGACUUAUAUUCUGUAGCAAGGUUAACCGAAUAGGGGAGCCGAAGGGAAACCGAGUCUUAACUGGGCGUUAAGUUGCAGGGUAUAGACCCGAAACCCGGUGAUCUAGCCAUGGGCAGGUUGAAGGUUGGGUAACACUAACUGGAGGACCGAACCGACUAAUGUUGAAAAAUUAGCGGAUGACUUGUGGCUGGGGGUGAAAGGCCAAUCAAACCGGGAGAUAGCUGGUUCUCCCCGAAAGCUAUUUAGGUAGCGCCUCGUGAAUUCAUCUCCGGGGGUAGAGCACUGUUUCGGCAAGGGGGUCAUCCCGACUUACCAACCCGAUGCAAACUGCGAAUACCGGAGAAUGUUAUCACGGGAGACACACGGCGGGUGCUAACGUCCGUCGUGAAGAGGGAAACAACCCAGACCGCCAGCUAAGGUCCCAAAGUCAUGGUUAAGUGGGAAACGAUGUGGGAAGGCCCAGACAGCCAGGAUGUUGGCUUAGAAGCAGCCAUCAUUUAAAGAAAGCGUAAUAGCUCACUGGUCGAGUCGGCCUGCGCGGAAGAUGUAACGGGGCUAAACCAUGCACCGAAGCUGCGGCAGCGACACUAUGUGUUGUUGGGUAGGGGAGCGUUCUGUAAGCCUGUGAAGGUGUACUGUGAGGUAUGCUGGAGGUAUCAGAAGUGCGAAUGCUGACAUAAGUAACGAUAAAGCGGGUGAAAAGCCCGCUCGCCGGAAGACCAAGGGUUCCUGUCCAACGUUAAUCGGGGCAGGGUGAGUCGACCCCUAAGGCGAGGCCGAAAGGCGUAGUCGAUGGGAAACAGGUUAAUAUUCCUGUACUUGGUGUUACUGCGAAGGGGGGACGGAGAAGGCUAUGUUGGCCGGGCGACGGUUGUCCCGGUUUAAGCGUGUAGGCUGGUUUUCCAGGCAAAUCCGGAAAAUCAAGGCUGAGGCGUGAUGACGAGGCACUACGGUGCUGAAGCGACAAAUGCCCUGCUUCCAGGAAAAGCCUCUAAGCAUCAGGUAACAUCAAAUCGUACCCCAAACCGACACAGGUGGUCAGGUAGAGAAUACCAAGGCGCUUGAGAGAACUCGGGUGAAGGAACUAGGCAAAAUGGUGCCGUAACUUCGGGAGAAGGCACGCUGAUAUGUAGGUGAAGCGACUUGCUCGUGGAGCUGAAAUCAGUCGAAGAUACCAGCUGGCUGCAACUGUUUAUUAAAAACACAGCACUGUGCAAACACGAAAGUGGACGUAUACGGUGUGACGCCUGCCCGGUGCCGGAAGGUUAAUUGAUGGGGUUAGCGGUAACGCGAAGCUCUUGAUCGAAGCCCCGGUAAACGGCGGCCGUAACUAUAACGGUCCUAAGGUAGCGAAAUUCCUUGUCGGGUAAGUUCCGACCUGCACGAAUGGCGUAAUGAUGGCCAGGCUGUCUCCACCCGAGACUCAGUGAAAUUGAACUCGCUGUGAAGAUGCAGUGUACCCGCGGCAAGACGGAAAGACCCCGUGAACCUUUACUAUAGCUUGACACUGAACAUUGAGCCUUGAUGUGUAGGAUAGGUGGGAGGCUUUGAAGUGUGGACGCCAGUCUGCAUGGAGCCGACCUUGAAAUACCACCCUUUAAUGUUUGAUGUUCUAACGUGGGCCCCUUACCGGGGUUGCGGACAGUGUCUGGUGGGUAGUUUGACUGGGGCGGUCUCCUCCUAAAGAGUAACGGAGGAGCACGAAGGUUGGCUAAUCCUGGUCGGACAUCAGGAGGUUAGUGCAAUGGCAUAAGCCAGCUUGACUGCGAGCGUGACGGCGCGAGCAGGUGCGAAAGCAGGUCAUAGUGAUCCGGUGGUUCUGAAUGGAAGGGCCAUCGCUCAACGGAUAAAAGGUACUCCGGGGAUAACAGGCUGAUACCGCCCAAGAGUUCAUAUCGACGGCGGUGUUUGGCACCUCGAUGUCGGCUCAUCACAUCCUGGGGCUGAAGUAGGUCCCAAGGGUAUGGCUGUUCGCCAUUUAAAGUGGUACGCGAGCUGGGUUUAGAACGUCGUGAGACAGUUCGGUCCCUAUCUGCCGUG
Molecule: ribosomal RNA, 2245 nt
Filed under: Escherichia coli
Lineage: Bacteria; Pseudomonadati; Pseudomonadota; Gammaproteobacteria; Enterobacterales; Enterobacteriaceae
Description: partial 23S ribosomal RNA
Rfam family: Bacterial large subunit ribosomal RNA
Source: RNAcentral